CCGGCACGGGUGAGUAACGCGUAUGCGACCUGCCCGUUGCAGGGGGGAUAAUCGGGAGAAAUCCCGUCUAAUACCGCGUAACGCCGCGGGGCUGCAUGGCCCUGCGGCCAAAGGGAGCGAUUCCGGCAACGGAUGGGCAUGCGUGACAUUAGCUAGUUGGCGGGGCAACGGCCCACCAAGGCGACGAUGUCUAGGGGUUCUGAGAGGAAGGUCCCCCACACUGGUACUGAGACACGGACCAGACUCCUACGGAAGGCAGCAG
This 262-nucleotide ribosomal RNA is filed under the name uncultured bacterium. Its description in RNAcentral is "partial 16S ribosomal RNA". It matches the Rfam family "Bacterial small subunit ribosomal RNA", at positions 97 to 354 of the family's 1533-position model. The record is from RNAcentral.